AACCUGCCCAAGAGAUCGGGAUAACACCUGGAAACAGAUGCUAAUACCGGAUAACAACAGAUGAUGCCUAUCAACUGUUUAAAAGAUGGUUCUGCUAUCACUCUUGGAUGGACCUGCGGUGCAUUAGCUAGUUGGUAGGGUAACGGCCUACCAAGGCGAUGAUGCAUAGCCGAGUUGAGAGACUGAUCGGCCACAUUGGGACUGAGACACGGCCCAAACUCCUACGGGAGGCAGCAAAC
Molecule: ribosomal RNA, 239 nt
Filed under: uncultured Lactobacillus sp.
Lineage: Bacteria; Bacillati; Bacillota; Bacilli; Lactobacillales; Lactobacillaceae
Description: partial 16S ribosomal RNA
Rfam family: Bacterial small subunit ribosomal RNA
Source: RNAcentral